RNAcentral lists this long non-coding RNA (2049 nucleotides) under Astyanax mexicanus (Mexican tetra). RNAcentral describes it as "lncRNA (ENSAMXG00005000752.1)". The record is from RNAcentral. Lineage: Eukaryota; Metazoa; Chordata; Actinopteri; Characiformes; Acestrorhamphidae.
ACGGUUGCUGCUUUCGUCUGUGUGUUUUUGUUAGUUUUUUGGGGGCAUUUGUCCUAUGCUGUUUUGAGCAGUUUUUUCUAGAAUAAACGAGUUAAUUUGGUCUAUAAAGAACUUUAAGUAGAAAUAGCUAUAAACUAGAGGUGUAAAAAAACGGGAAAAAAACCCGUCCCAGGGUUUUGUACCAACUGCCUGCUCCGCGGACCAGGCAGUUGGUGCGAAACCCUGCGAUGGAUUUUAUUUUUCUGGAUCUGGAUUACACAGCUCUACUAUAAACUAUAAAUCCAUGCUGGUGCUUCACUGCUGCCCCCCUGCGCUGUUUCCGUGUGUUUGCGCGCUUGUUGCUUAGCAACCGUCAGUGAUACACAAAGCUGAAGAUAAACAGCAUCACCUGUCUGCGUCUGAACAGAUUUUGAUGCGUGCUGUGCGAUGCCUGACACUGAACUAUUAAAACAUCCUUUAGUGGAAGAUGGAGGCAGUUUACGAGUUCAGGGUAAGAUGCCAAACACUUCCUCAGCGUGUGUGGAGAAAGCCCUGUGGCACAUUAAAGAGCUGAAGAAGAAGCUGGAGAUCAGCCGCCAGCAGGAAACUAAUAAUCAGCAUGUUCACUGCAAGGGAAAAAAACUAAAUGACAGCACCAUGGGGAUAGAUGGUGUUCUGCAGGAGGCCACGACACUUCUGCAGCGUCUGGAGUCAGAGCGACAGAAGGCUACAGAGGCUCUGCAGAAAGAACAAAUAAAAAGACAAACACUGAUCAAAAAGCAGGAAGAUCUUUUUCUGUGGAAACAGCAGCAUUUUCCUGCAGCAGUGCAAAACGAGUACGAGUCCAGUAUCAGAGACAUCACUGAGCUGAAGUGGCAUCUUAAAGUAAAGAAAGAUCAGAUGCAGAAAGUGAGGAACAGUCUGAACCACAUAGAGACACAGAAUCAGCAGCUGGUGGAGGAAAUGGAUUUUUUAAAGAAGCACGGUCCACUCAUAAAGGAGAAGCUGCAGCUGGAGAGAGAAAUGACGAAACAGGUGAAAUCAGCCCAGGCUGAGGCUGAAGACAGAUUCUCCCGGCGGUCUGAUGAUCUGAUCAGAGAACAGCAGGAUCUGGACACUGAGGAGCUUCUGGCCAAUAGAGAAAGAGAGGAAAUGAACACGGAGCUCCAGGACUCUCGGAAACAUCUCAAAGAUCAACUCUCUGAUCUCCAGAAGCUGAAGUUAUUUGGGGAUAAUUGUCGCACCAAAAUCCACGAAACUAAGAAGAAGAUUCCAUUAAAAGAGAAGCAGCUUGGUGCCACACGCCUCCAGAUUUCCUCUCUAGAAAAACAAGAAGCUAAAAUAAAUGAUACUUUAGUGGAGCUAAGAGCGAAACGAGAGAAUAACAAGAAGAAACAGCUGGAAAUUGAAGAGGUUGAUAAACAGAUCGUGAUGACUGUGAGUAUAAAUGUGUUUAUUGUUGUUUAUUGUAGUGAAAGUUGUGUGUGUUGUGUUGUUGUGUGUGUUAGUAAUGGUGUUUUAUAGCAGGUAAAUGAAGGUUAUAGUUGUGUGUUUGGGACGCAUGUUAUAAGCGUCGUUACACACGUCCUCUGGAGGGCAGGAAAGACCCGCUCAUCGUCUUUAUUACAACACCUCCAUUUUGUUCUAACUGUACUCUUAUAUCUCAAACUUCUGUCAGAAACCUUAUUUAUUUAAACUGUGAAAGUGUGAAAAAUAAUGAGAUAAUCUUUUCUAGCACUGAGUUAAAGCUGCAUCCUCAUUACAUACAUAUAUAUACAGUAUAAAAGUGUCCCAGACUGCCUGAAUAUUGCUGAAUAUUAUCCCUAUAUAACUCUGUAGGUCAUUAUUAAUAAGUAUAUGCUGUAUAUCAAGUACCCUGCAUUGCAAAAAUGGAGUCUAUUCCUAAAACAUUAGGUUUGUUAAUACAGUAUAUGUGUUACUGAGAAUACGACAGGGCACACCUUCACUGGGUUUUAUUUUAUUUUAUUUUAUUUUACCAAAUUAAAAACCUCUGGAAUAUAAUCAAGAGGAAGAUGGAUGAUCACAAACCAUCAAACCACCAAACUGAAC